CGUGAUUGUCGUCUCCUCUAUCGUGGUCGGCAUCAGGACCCAGGUGGGCGCCGCCAAAGUGCCGACCGGGGACAGUGUAGAGUUCACAGGCCGUCGUUGUUGCACGACCGCCACGCAGGACCACGGUCGGCGUUGCCAGCCGACCAAAGACAAGGCGACCAUCGACACCUUCACUAUUACGGCCAUUGUCAAUGUCCGCGUCGGCCGACGAUGGCGGUGAUGAUCCAACCAAAGAUUCGGCGGUGCGACGCGCGUCGACCGACACAAGCACGCGACCCCCCUGCGCGACGCAGGCCAGCGCGGCCGCCACCUCGACGGCCGGACCCGUGUAUGAGUAGCGACGCGUGAGCGGGUCCAUGGUGGCGCGCACGCGGCCCGUGUGCACGCCCAUGCGCACCCUCAGACCGCGAAACACGACCGCAUCGUCGGCGUUGCCGCCCGUCUCCUCGCACGCGUCGGCAUGGUGCAAGAGGUGUGGUGGCCACUUGGCGUCCAAGAGGGCCGUCUGGGCAGUGCGACAAAAGUCUAGGGCGUCGUCGGCGCGCGCAAACACGAGGCAAAAGGUGCCCUCGCCGGCGGGGCGGUUGGGACCAAAUGGCGACUCGUAGCCGCCGUGAGCGGCCACGGCGGCGCGUACAGUGAGAUUGUGCUCAACCAGUGCGUCUUUCAUCGCCCGCGGGACCUCAUCCCAUAGUGUGUCGGCCCGGUGCACGUCGGUAAACACGACCGUCACGGGACCCUGGUCGUCGGCAACGGGCGCACGCUUGUGACCCACGUGGACGGUGAUGGGCGUGGCAGCGGGGCUGCUGCGGUCAAAGCCGCGCACCGAAUCGGCCAGGAGCGAGGGCUCGUCGGUGCCCGCCUGGGCGCCACCACCGCCAGACGAUCCCGCAUAGGGCGACGACGACGACGAGGUGCCCGUGUAGCGUCCGCCCGUCGACGACGAAGCGUCGCCGUCAAUGAUCGUGCUGAGGCGGGUCAUGGCUUCGAGAAAGGCCGGCCGCAUCAUCGGGUCGCGGUUCCAGCAGUCGACGACAAGGCGCUCAAAGUCGACAAAGGUCGGCGGCAUGAUCGUGCCCGUCGGGGGCAUGCGCGGCCGUGCGUCGUCACGCAGCACGGCCACGGCCACGGCCGCCUGACUGAGGCCGGCAUAGGGCUGUUGGCGCGUGAGCAGUUCCCAGAGGACGACGCCAAAGGCAUAGACAUCGGCCGGGACCAUGUCGGCCGUGGUCGGGCUCCCAUUGCUGCCGCCGCCAGGGGUGUGGUCGCCGGCAAGGAUCUCGGGCGCCAUCCACUGCACGGUGCCCUCAAUGGCGGUGCUCGUGCGCGACCCAUGAUCGCCCGCCAGCCGGGUGAGGCCAAAGUCAGACACCUUGAGGUUCCACUUGGCGUCGAGCAAGAGGUUCAUCGACUUGAGAUCGCGGUGGACGACGCCCGACGAGUGCAAAAAGUGCAUGCCCUUGGCCGCCUGGUAGGCGAGGCGCACGCGCAGCGCCGGCGGCAGGUCGGUGAUCAACUCAUUGGCCAAGAGGUCGUGCAGUGAUCCGAGCGCCAUGUACUCCAUCACGAUGCAGGGCGUGACGGCCUUGGUGCACGCCGCCAUAAACAAGACGACGUUGGGGUGGCGGAGGGCCGUCAUCACGCGCACCUCGUCACGGAACCGGUCCAGGGCCUCGCGCGUGGGCGUCGCCCCAAUCAACUUGACCGCCACCUCGGUACCCUUCCACUUGGCCUUGUGCACGGUGCCAUAGCCGCCGGCGCCCAGUUGGUCGCCCAUGUCCAGUUCCGUCGGAUCAAUCUCCCAGUCAUCGUCGUGGAGGCGGCGACGCGCGCGCCACAUGACUAUGACAAUCACCAGUGCGGCGACAAUGAUCAGCAGGCCCAAGCCGGCGACGACGGGCGCGACGACGGCCGGGAUGAUCACGGAUGUUGAGUCGGUCGAAGCCGACAGAGUACCGUCAGUGGCGCAAUGAACGCCCGUCCACGGCGGCGUGCACACACAGACCGAGUCGAUACAGGUGCCGUGGUCCGAACACACGCGGCCGUCGUUGGGCGCCACACAGCCAUAGAGCGAACUCACGGGCACGCCGUCCACCGUGAUGUUGACGACAAUGGCCAGCACGCGCGCCAUCAUACCCUCGGAGGCGCUGCACAUGACGACAUAGUUUUGCUCGGCGAGGGCGCGCGCUUCGGACGUGCUCUGCGCCCAGUAGAUCCAGUCGACGAGGGCCUUGGCCUUGGCCGAGUCGACCAUAGUGCGCGUGCGCAACAUCAAAUAGUUGUACAUGGCGACGGGCCACGAGCGCGCGCCCGGCCCGGCCACCGGGUCGACGUCGGGCAGGACAAUGUCGGCGGCGGCCAUGGCGGGCGCAAAGUCGGCUAGGGUCGACGCCAACGAGGCCGUAUCGGGCAGUACGCGAUUGCCCGCCGGGUUGACCAUGCCGCCGGCGACGACGCCCACGACGCCCUGAAGUGCAUGGGUGGGCCAAAAGGUGAACGAGUAGGGAUGGGCCUGGACGGCGGGCGGCACGGCCAUGCCCACGAUACCGACGGUGCGGUUGGGCUCGUCAAACAUGACCGGAAACUGAAUGUCCCACCGAUAGCCGACCUCGGCGGCAAAGGUGGCGUUCAUGAGCGCGAGCGCGUGCGUAUAGUGGGCGGCCACCGACGACGGCAGCACCUGGUAGACGAUGGUGAUCUCGCGGCCCGCCGGCAGGUACGGGGCCAGUUCCGGGUUGAGGGCGGCGAUGCGUGGGUGGUCCCACGUGCGGAUCUCGCCCAGGUAGAUGCCAGUGAGCACCGACCAGUCAAAGUAGAGCGGCGCGCGGCCGACGAGUUCCGGCACCGAGUAAAUGGGUCCGAUGGCGCCAAUCUGCAUGGGCAACAGGACGACGUCGGGCACGAGGUCCAUCUGGGCGCGCGUCGGCAGGGCCGUGAUCGACGAGAGGUCCACCUGGUUGGCCAGCAUGGCCUGGAUGCCGUCGACGGUGCGGCCCGAAAAAAACUUGAACCGGUAGAGGCCCGCCGUGUACGAGUAGGACAUGCGCUGGUAUAUCUGCGCCGGCGGCUCGCCCAUGGCCACCAUGUACGACUCGCUGAGGGCGCGGAGGCCACCGCAGCGCACGUCGCUCAGGGCAUUGACCGCCGUGUAGACCCAGGCAAAUGGGACGGGCACGUAGCCGACGCCGGCGGCCGAGUUGGUCCCGACGGCCGAGUUGACCUGUGCCCACACCAAGAGUCGCAAGAGUUCUUGCGUGUAGGAGCAGUCGGCCGAUCCAAAGGCCUGCACCGAGCCGCGGCCCGUGCCAUUGAUGUCGACGCCCACCCAGGCCAUGGCGCAGAGGGGCCAUGCGCCGGGGGCCCCCGCCGCCCUGAUGCCCACGAUGGCACCCGCCGCCGUCGAGGCUGGAUCGGUCAUGAGACCAUCGUUAAAGGCUGCCGACACUGAAAGCAAGGCCGCCGAGACCGACGCCGUGUCGGGUGCCAAAGCGUGCCCCGUCGCGUUGAGCAAGGUCGCCGCCGGCACGGUCAUAGUGGUCUCCCACGCUGCGGCAAAGGUGAGCGCACCGGCGGGCGCCGUCUCUAGCCACGCCAUGCGAUUGUCGGCAAUGCGCACCGUGUUGGCCGGCGACAGGCGACUCGUGUUGUGACCGGCGAUGGCAAGUGCGGCAGCAAAAUCAGGGCUACAGUCGGCCAGUGCGCGCAUAAAGGCGUCCUCGACGUCGUCGCCCUCGGGACCGACCAUGACCAAGGUCACAUUGGAUGCCGCCGGAUCGGCCGUUGAACACGCCGGGUUGAGGGCCGUCACGCGGGCAUCCGACCACGUUGUGACAGCGCCCGACCACAGCAGGCCCAAAAGGUCACAGGUCACGACGAGUGGCCCCGUGUGGCCCGGACAUGGCGGGGCAUUGUGCGCGGCCACGAGGGCCGUCGCCGCCAUCGGUGCAAAGCGCAUGCCGGCGCGGCGCGCCCCGACACCCGUAAAGGUAUGGAGGGCAACAAAGUCGGCCUGGCCCUUGGCAUAGUCGUCAAUGGCGUCGGCGGGCGUCGCGUCGAUAUAGACCAGGCCAAUGUCGUCGCGCGUGUACUGGUAGUCGGCCGCGAGGGCGCGGAUCAAUUUGCCUGCCGUCGGGCCGCCGUCGCCAAUGAGAGUCACGCUCGUGGGCGUCGCCGCAUCCGUGCGCGCUCCCAAGAGCACGAUCGUCGCCAGGGCCACAAUCACAUACAGUAUUGCGGGGGAGCCGUGCAGAAUCGACAUGUGCGCCCUUUUUUUUUCGGGGAAGCGACCGCCCUCGUCGGUGCUGUCUUGAUGAUCACCGCCACGUGCGCUCCCUACAAACUUUUUUCUUUCUCGAUCAAAGGGUUUGUCGCUGUCUUUGCGUGUCGGACCGGCACGAGGUUGUCGGUCGUCUCUUUUUUUUUUCGGUCGCAGUGGGUACCAAAGAGAAGAUGAUCA
This 4456-nucleotide long non-coding RNA is filed under the name Pandoravirus celtis. RNAcentral's name for it is "hypothetical ncRNA". The record is from RNAcentral.